GGGGAUGUGGCUCAGUGGUAAAGUGCUUGCUUGGCAUGCAUGAGGCCCUGGGUUCAGAUCCCAAGCACCA
This is a non-coding RNA of Ictidomys tridecemlineatus (thirteen-lined ground squirrel), 70 nucleotides long. The record is from Rfam. NCBI's taxonomy places the organism in Eukaryota, Metazoa, Chordata, Mammalia, Rodentia, Sciuridae.